Non-coding RNA from Paramuricea clavata, 807 nucleotides. Lineage: Eukaryota; Metazoa; Cnidaria; Anthozoa; Malacalcyonacea; Plexauridae. The record is from the annotation of a GenBank genome assembly.
UUUUUAUUACCCAACCCUUGAGUUGUUUUGUUUUUCAUUUACCCAACCUUUUACUCACUCAAAAUUUUGUUUACCCAACCUUUUUCCCUUCGGUGCAACCCCCCACCAUAAAUAAUGACCGAUCCCUUAGGGUGUGUUUGAGCAAUACCGUAGCAUUAGAAAACAAUUUUGUUUCAAUUUUAAUACUAAUUUACUUUUUCAAUAGGCAGCUAGUGAGUAAAGAUGAGAAACUGAAGCUUGGACUCAGCUUCGUUUAUGAUGCUCCACCAGGAUUUAAAGGUUUUUAAAACCUAAAUUUAAGCUGCUUACCGUACAAGAGAUCAGUGGCGGAUACUUCGCGAAAUAUUGGGGGUUGGGGGCGAAUUAGUUUGUCAACAUAUGACCAACCUUUGUAGGUGAAAAUCUUAAUGCUUUAAACUUUUUUGUCUUAAAGUUGCCAUGCAAUAUUUAGCUUAAUUUGUAGUGUAACAAUGCUUUCAUGGUUGAAAAAUUAUUGUUACAGCUUUGUUACACAGUUAUUCAGCUAUCAUUCAAAGGCUUUCAGAAAUUAAUGUGGGCGGUUGCCCCCAUGCCCCCUCUCUCUAGUGUCCGCUACUGCAAGAGACCUACUGUUCGUGACCGGACUAUCACUUCACCAGCCUAAGCUGCAUGCUGGUACUUUUGAAGAAAAAUUGUUACAAAAAUCCAAAUUUAUUGCUGAUGUUAAUAAUCUUUUCUGCUAAUUUGUAUUAUUCUUUUUUUCUUAUAAUUUUUCAAUUUGGACUUUUAUCCUGGGCUGAACAUUUGAGCAGACAAAAAUAAGGUAGG